GAUGAACGCUGGCGGCGUGCCUAAUACAUGCAAGUCGAGCGAACAGACGAGGAGCUUGCUCCUCUGACGAUAGCGGCGGACGGGUGAGUAACACGUGGAUAACCUACCUAUAAGACUGGGAUAACUUCGGGAAGCCGGAGCUAAUACCGGAUAAUAUAUUGAACCGCAUGGUUCAAUAGUGAAAGACGGUUUUGCUGUCACUUAUAGAUGGAUCCGCGCCGCAUUAGCUAGUUGGUAAGGUAACGGCUUACCAAGGCGACGAUGCGUAGCCGACCUGAGAGGGUGAUCGGCCACACUGGAACUGAGACACGGUCCAGACUCCUACGGGAGGCAGCAGUAGGGAAUCUUCCGCAAUGGGCGAAAGCCUGACGGAGCAACGCCGCGUGAGUGAUGAAGGUCUUCGGAUCGUAAAACUCUGUUAUUAGGGAAGAACAAAUGUGUAAGUAACUAUGCACGUCUUGACGGUACCUAAUCAGAAAGCCACGGCUAACUACGUG
Molecule: ribosomal RNA, 497 nt
Filed under: uncultured bacterium
Lineage: Bacteria
Description: partial 16S ribosomal RNA
Rfam family: Bacterial small subunit ribosomal RNA
Source: RNAcentral